UGGGGUGUAGCUCAGUGGUAGAGUUCUUGCUUCACAUGUGUGAGGCCCUGGAUUAGAUUCUCAGCACCUCAU
Molecule: transfer RNA, 72 nt
Filed under: Urocitellus parryii (Arctic ground squirrel)
Lineage: Eukaryota; Metazoa; Chordata; Mammalia; Rodentia; Sciuridae
Also listed under: 2 other names
Description: Spermophilus parryii (Arctic ground squirrel) tRNA
Rfam family: tRNA
About the family: Transfer RNA (tRNA) molecules are approximately 80 nucleotides in length.
Source: Rfam by way of RNAcentral